This 121-nucleotide ribosomal RNA is filed under the name Carassius auratus (goldfish). Lineage: Eukaryota; Metazoa; Chordata; Actinopteri; Cypriniformes; Cyprinidae. The record is from RNAcentral.
GCUUACGGCCAUACCAACCUGGCUAUGCCCGAUCUCGUCUGAUCUCGGAAAGCUAAGCAGGUUUGGGCCUGGUUUAGUACUUGGAUGGGAGACCGCCUGGGAAUACCGGGUGCUGUAAGCU